UACAGAGGUCCCGAGCGUUGUUCGGAUUCACUGGGCGUAAAGGGUGCGCAGGUGGCCAGGCAAGUCGGAUGUGAAAGCUCCGGGCUCAACCCGGAAACCGCAUUGGAAACUGCCUGGCUGGAGGUUUGGAGGGGGGACUGGAAUUCUCGGUGUAGCAGUGAAAUGCGUAGAGAUCGAGAGGAACACCAGUGGCGAAGGCGAGUCCCUGGACAACACCUGACACUGAGGCACGAAAGCCGGGGGAGCAAACAGG
Molecule: ribosomal RNA, 253 nt
Filed under: uncultured bacterium
Lineage: Bacteria
Description: partial 16S ribosomal RNA
Rfam family: Bacterial small subunit ribosomal RNA
Source: RNAcentral